RNAcentral lists this ribosomal RNA (423 nucleotides) under uncultured bacterium. Its description in RNAcentral is "bacterial SSU rRNA". It matches the Rfam family "Bacterial small subunit ribosomal RNA", at positions 356 to 776 of the family's 1533-position model. The record is from RNAcentral.
GAGGAAUAUUGGUCAAUGGGCGGAAGCCUGAACCAGCCAUCCCGCGUGCAGGAAGACGGCCCUAUGGGUUGUAAACUGCUUUUCCAGGGGGAGAAACUUUCCGAUGAAUCGGGAUUUGACGGUACCCUGGGAAUAAGCAUCGGCUAACUCCGUGCCAGCAGCCGCGGUAAUACGGAGGAUGCGAGCGUUAUCCGGAUUUAUUGGGUUUAAAGGGUGCGUAGGCGGAUCGAUAAGUCGGUGGUGAAAACCUGCAGCUUAACUGUAGACUUGCCGUUGAUACUGUUGGUCUUGAGUAUGGUCAAGGUAGGCGGAAUGUGUAAUGUAGCGGUGAAAUGCUUAGAUAUUACACAGAACACCGAUUGCGAAGGCAGCUUACUGGACCAUCACUGACGCUGAUGCACGAAAGCGUGGGGAUCGAACAGG